CCCUUAGAUGUUCUGGGCUGCACACGUGCUACACUGGCAGGUUCAGCGAGCUCCAUGCCCUGAUCUGAAAGGAAUGGGAAAUCUUUUCAAAACCUGCCGUGCUUGGGAUAGAUGUUUGCAAUUAUUCAUCUUCAACGAGGAUUGCCUUGUAAGCGCACGUCAUCAGCGUGCAUUGAAUACGACCCUGUAUUCUGUACACACCGCCCGUCGCUCCUACCGAUUGAAGUUUUCGGUGAGUUGACAGGAGGAUUUUUUUGAAACUGGUUCGCCAGUGGAUUUUAGAUCCAAAUGCCAACGAAUCGAGGGCUUUAGAGGAAGGAGAAGUCGUAACA
This 332-nucleotide ribosomal RNA is filed under the name uncultured eukaryote. Its description in RNAcentral is "partial 18S ribosomal RNA". It matches the Rfam family "Eukaryotic small subunit ribosomal RNA", at positions 1470 to 1796 of the family's 1831-position model. The record is from RNAcentral.